CAUUUUAUAAGCAUCACUAAUUAAGGAGGCGUUAACACGCACCAUGCAGACAACGCUAACUAGGAUCAUAAAUAAAAAUCACACAUUAGAAUAGGAUUUGCUUCCUUAAAUUUGGCAUACAGAAGCAGCACUUUGGAAAUCCUAUAACCAGAAAAACCAACCCCUUCCUCCCUACUGAGAAAAAAAAAAUCCUCAGCUCAGACCAGUCCCC
Pelobates cultripes (western spadefoot toad) is the source of this 211-nucleotide non-coding RNA. NCBI's taxonomy places the organism in Eukaryota, Metazoa, Chordata, Amphibia, Anura, Pelobatidae. The record is from the annotation of a GenBank genome assembly.